UCUCAGCAGCAUGUGAGCUCUCCAGAUCAUCUUGUCUCAGCUUUAGAGGUAUGGAUCCACGCAUCCCUCCACCUUCCCUCCACCCCGCUAAUCACGGAACUGGGCUGAACCAGCCUGUAAACCAUUUACACUUUACUCAACUGGAAGCCUCUCCAAACUGCUGAGAAAGGCACGUUUGUUUCUGAAGAGGCAAGAGGUAUCUCUUCCCUCCUCCAGAGAUGACUUCUCCUCAACUCCUGUAUUUUGCUUUUCCUGAUGCAGAGGCUUCUCCCAGAAGACCAUAUUCCUAGCUGCAGGACUUCACUGUGGAAUGGAGCAGCUUUAAAAUACAAGAACAUUUGUAACUGUCCCAGGAGUUGCAUUUCUGCAUAACCUGCUUUAUAAGACACUUUUAUCCAUACUGUCAUUCCCACAUCAGUCACUAAAGCAGAAACAGUCCAUUCUUUCUCUCUGGUUUCUCCACAGCUUCUGCUUGUCUGUCAGCAUAGCUUUUAACUCAAGG
Molecule: long non-coding RNA, 502 nt
Organism: Gallus gallus (chicken)
Lineage: Eukaryota; Metazoa; Chordata; Aves; Galliformes; Phasianidae
Source: Ensembl